Alligator mississippiensis (American alligator) is the source of this 428-nucleotide long non-coding RNA. RefSeq lists it as uncharacterized. NCBI's taxonomy places the organism in Eukaryota, Metazoa, Chordata, Crocodylia, Alligatoridae. The transcript has 3 exons. The record is from RefSeq and is a predicted model, not a curated record.
GUUCACUUAGUUUCAGAGCAGGAAAGACCUGAACAAAUCAUCUCAGCUGCCUACUGACAGGUGCCAUGAACUAUUAAGGUUAUUUUAAGUCUUUCAUCAAAUUCUAGUAUGGACAAGAAUACUGUUAAGUGUUCACAGCUACAAGGAAAGAAAAUGGCCUCUUACGAUCAUUAUGACCUGCUACUGCACUAGCUCAGCUGCAGUGGCUGAUGCAUGGAGGAGGGAAGAUAGCUGAGGUUUUGCCCCUUCCCAUAUUCUUCUGCUGUGGAAGCAAUUUAGGAAUGAAUACCAGAGACUGUGGAAAGACCAUACUGAUAAAAGGAGGGAGGAAACCAAAAGGCUGAACAAGUCUUUAUUCUCAUUGUAGCUGAUAUAUGACAUUACAGUGUAUUCCUCAUAAUCCUUGUAUGGAGAAGAUUUAUUUUCAA